UUAGAGUUUGAUCCUGGCUCAGGAUGAACGCUAGCUACAGGCUUAACACAUGCAAGUCGAGCGGUAUGUGCUUUAGUGCAUACAGCGGCAGACGGGUGAGUAACACGUAUCUAACCUUCCCCUUACUUGGGCAUAGCCUCUGGAAACGGAGAUUAAUUUCCGAUGUGGUGUACAUUUCGCAUGUUUUGCGCACCAAAGAUUUAUCGAUAAGGGAUGGGGAUGCGCUCCAUUAGGUUGUAGGUAGGGUAAUGGCCUACCUAGCCUAUGAUGGAUAGGGGUUCUGAGAGGAAGGUCCCCCACAUUGGAACUGCGACACGGUCCAAACUCCUACGGGAGGCAGCAGUGAGGAAUAUUGGUCAAUGGCCGGAAGGCUGAACCAGCCAAGUAGCGUGCAGGAUGACUGCCUUAUGGGUUGUAAACUGCUUUUUUACGGGAAUAAUUAUGAUCACGUGUGAUUAUUUGCAUGUACCGUAAGAAUAAGCAUCGGCUAACUCCGUGCCAGCAGCCGCGGUAAUACGGAGGAUGCGAGCGUUAUCCGGAUUUAUUGGGUUUAAAGGGUGCGUAGGCUGUUUUGUAAGUCAGCGGUGAAAGACCGGGGCCCAACUCCGGAAGUGCCGUUGAUACUGCAUUGCUAGAGUUCCCCUGCCGUGGGAGGAAUGAGUGGUGUAGCGGUGAAAUGCAUAGAUAUCACUCAGAACACCGAUUGCGAAGGCAUCUCACGAAGAGGCAACUGACGCUGAGGCACGAAAGCGUGGGGAUCAAACAGGAUUAGAUACCCUGGUAGUCCACGCUGUAAACGAUGAUGACUAGCUGCCGGCGAUACACUGUCGGUGGCCCAGCGAAAGCGAUAAGUCAUCCACCUGGGGAGUACGACCGCAAGGUUGAAACUCAAAGGAAUUGACGGGGGCCCGCACAAGCGGAGGAACAUGUGGUUUAAUUCGAUGAUACGCGAGGAACCUUACCCGGGCUCGAACGGCAGACGACAUAUACAGAGACGUAUAUUCCCUUCGGGGCGUCUGUCGAGGUGCUGCAUGGUUGUCGUCAGCUCGUGUCGUGAGAUGUUGGCUUAAGUGCCAUAACGAGCGCAACCCCUAUUCUUAGUUGCCAUCAGGUAAUGCUGGGGACUCUAAGAAAACUGCCUACGCAAGUAGUGAGGAAGGUGGGGAGGACGUCAAAUCAGCACGGCCCUUAUGUCCAGGGCUACACACGUGCUACAAUGGCCGGUACAGAGGGCAGCCACCUGGUGACAGGGAGCAAAUCUCCAAAGCCGGUCUCAGUUCGGAUCGAAGUCUGCAAUUCGACUCCAUGAAGGUGGAUUCGCUAGUAAUCGCGCAUCAGCCAUGGCGCGGUGAAUAAGGGGCCGGGCCUUGUACACACCGCCCGUCA
Molecule: ribosomal RNA, 1386 nt
Filed under: uncultured bacterium
Lineage: Bacteria
Description: 16S ribosomal RNA
Rfam family: Bacterial small subunit ribosomal RNA
Source: RNAcentral